Molecule: ribosomal RNA, 327 nt
Filed under: uncultured Lachnospiraceae bacterium
Lineage: Bacteria; Bacillati; Bacillota; Clostridia; Lachnospirales; Lachnospiraceae
Description: partial 16S ribosomal RNA
Source: RNAcentral
GGAGUUUGGGCCGUGUCUCAGUCCCAAUGUGGCCGGUCGCCCUCUCAGGCCGGCUAUUGAUCGUCGCUUUGGUAGGCCGUUACCCCACCAACUGGCUAAUCAAACGCGGGUCCAUCUAUAAGCGAAAUUCUUUUCACACUGUAUCAUGCGAUACUGGUGUGCUUAUCGUGUAUUAGCAGUCAUUUCUAACUGUUGUUCACGUCUUAUAGGCAGGUUACCCACGCGUUACUCACCCGUCCGCCACUAGAAUUUCUAAACAUCCAGCGAACCUUCAGUCUAGAGUUCCCGUUCGACUUGCAUGUGUUAAGCACGCCGCCAGCGUUCAUC